UGGGGAAUAUUGGACAAUGGGGGCAACCCUGAUCCAGCAAUGCCGCGUGUGUGAAGAAGGUCUUCGGAUUGUAAAGCACUUUCGACGGGGACGAUGAUGACGGUACCCGUAGAAGAAGCCCCGGCUAACUUCGUGCCAGCAGCCGCGGUAAUACGAAGGGGGCUAGCGUUGCUCGGAAUGACUGGGCGUAAAGGGCGUGUAGGCGGUUUACACAGUCAGAUGUGAAAUCCCCGGGCUUAACCUGGGAGCUGCAUUUGAUACGUGUAGACUAGAGUGUGAGAGAGGGUUUGUGGAAUUCCCAGUGUAGAGGUGAAA
RNAcentral lists this ribosomal RNA (315 nucleotides) under uncultured bacterium. Its description in RNAcentral is "partial 16S ribosomal RNA". It matches the Rfam family "Bacterial small subunit ribosomal RNA", at positions 355 to 686 of the family's 1533-position model. The record is from RNAcentral.